GGGUUGUGAGGUUAAGCGACUAAGCGUACACGGUGGAUGCCCUGGCAGUCAGAGGCGAUGAAGGGCGUGCUAAUCUGCGAUAAGCGCCGGUAAGGUGAUAUGAACCGUUAUAACCGGCGAUACCCGAAUGGGGAAACCCAGUGUGAUUCGUCACACUAUCAUUAACUGAAUCCAUAGGUUAAUGAGGCGAAC
RNAcentral lists this ribosomal RNA (192 nucleotides) under Salmonella enterica subsp. enterica serovar Muenchen. RNAcentral describes it as "partial 23S ribosomal RNA". It matches the Rfam family "Bacterial large subunit ribosomal RNA", at positions 1 to 184 of the family's 2925-position model. RNAcentral also lists the same sequence under 1 other name. The record is from RNAcentral. Lineage: Bacteria; Pseudomonadati; Pseudomonadota; Gammaproteobacteria; Enterobacterales; Enterobacteriaceae.